Molecule: long non-coding RNA, 324 nt
Filed under: Mus spicilegus (steppe mouse)
Lineage: Eukaryota; Metazoa; Chordata; Mammalia; Rodentia; Muridae
Description: lncRNA (ENSMSIG00000015326.1)
Source: RNAcentral
CUCUUGCAGUGAGAGAAGACAGAAAGGCUGCUCUCUGUCCCAGCCCAGAGCCGAGGGCGGCGCCCCACAAAACGGCCCUCCUGGGAGGAUCACUCGCCUUCUUGCAAGGAUCUUUUACUGCCUCUUCUCAUCGUGAUGGCGAUGCGAAAGGACCCUUGCCUACAACUGUCUUGUUUGUUCAUUUGCAUGGAUGGGACAGAAUCUACCUAAUCUGGACCAACACAUUGUGACUGGAGUCUCCAAAUCUUUUAGAUAGGAAUGUUCUACAGGCUUUCAGGAUCACUCAUCCAUCUGGACCCUGGUGACAACGUUCUUGGAAAACAA